Molecule: long non-coding RNA, 943 nt
Filed under: Callithrix jacchus (white-tufted-ear marmoset)
Lineage: Eukaryota; Metazoa; Chordata; Mammalia; Primates; Cebidae
Description: lncRNA (ENSCJAG00000069780.1)
Source: RNAcentral
CUCCUUAGCGAAGAUUCCAUCGUGUUCUGUAACACAUGAUGAAGCAUUUUCCGCGUUAUAAUGUGACAAUGGCCCUACUGAGCACAACAAUUUGAGUCUGAAUGUGCCAGAGUCAGAGGAGAAAUCUGAAGAGUUGCAGUAAUGACCAAGACAAAGGACAUGUCAAGACUAUCGUCCCCAGGAAAGAGACAAUCUUGAGAGAUCCUGCCCAGCUCGGGGGCACCUGAGCUCCCAGGAUGCCCAGGCUGCCGCACAAGGGGCUUUCUAUAUUCCCUGGAGUCCCACAUCACAUCACUUCUCCAGCGGGAGGGCUUUUGGGCAACUGUUUUGACCGGGUUGGCUGUCAGUGCAGAGGAGCAGCUUGCAGCUCAAUCUAGUUAUGGGCUUGAAGGAGGAGGACAGAAGCAGGCAACAUCUGUUGAGCCACGUCUGUGCAAAUAUGCAUUCGUUCAUUUUAUCCUCGCAGCACCUUUGUUUUUUGGAGACAGAGUUUUGCUCUGUUGCCCAGGCUGGAGUACAGUGGCAUGAUAUCAGAUCACUGCAAGCCCUACCUCCCAGAUUCAAGUGACAGCCAUUGAACAAUCUCCUAGGAUUGGAAUCUCAGAUGCCUACAAGGGCCAUGCUUUUCUCAAGACUUGAGGAAGAGGCGGGGACCACUGCCGCCCACAAAUGCCCUUCUAGAAGGACCCAGCUGUAGGAGUGGUAGCUCCUGGCACUACGGGCAGUUGCAAGCCUGGUGUAUACAGCUUUGGAUUUUUUUCCAAAGGAUUCCAGAAACAAGGAUUUUUAUGCAAACUCUCCCAAUUUAAAAACAUGACAGCUAUUCAAUUUUCUUUUCAAUCGUAUGAGCCAAAUAAAGUAUGUCCAUGAGCCUGAUUUGGUCUGAGCCUUCUUUUUUUAAAAUUAUUUAAUUAUUUAUUUAUUUUUUGAGAUGGAGUCUUGC